UUGUGCGCAACUGUACGUACUUCACUUUGCGCCGAAAGAAGAUUUCCCUGGCGUAAAAACAUGGCUACUCGACAAAAAAGUAAUACAUUUACCAGCAGUUCCACCCUUACUGUAGAAGACCGUGCACAAGUAGCAAUAAGGAGAAGGACCAUGGGUACACACAGCUUGGCUGAAUUUUGUCAAGAGAUGGAUGUAAGAAGUGGGGGCUAUGCCAGGAUCUUUGAUAUUUACAGAGCUUGAGUCCUGCCGGAAUGCAUCGGAUCAGGGUACCAGACCUUUUUGGAACCUUUUUGACAGUAAAUAUAAAUCUUUUCCAGCAAACUAUGUUCAAAUUUGACCACACAUAUGUGAAAAAGUGUCAAAGAAUAUCGCCGUCGCUUUGUUCCGGACAUUUUGACAGCAAACUCAUGCUGCCUGAGCAUGGACACAGACUCACGUCAAACGUCACGUCACGAACCGUCAACCCUUCUGCGUGCUCAUUGGAAAAGAGCUUUUUUCUCUUAAUUUGUAUCUACAUAUCUGUAAUGUCUGAUAAAAAGCGUAGUUUGAUACUGUCCUACUUGCUUUUGUGCAUGAUUUGUAAACAGUGAAUUGAGUGUAAAUAAAAAAUGUGAAAAUUAAGUCUAAGUUGGUAAUGGCUGCGAUUAUACAACAGAAAAAACAGUCAAAUCUCUGUCUCGUUGGCAAACGUUUAUUUUUUCUUAUAAUAAAAUUGAUAACAUCAUCAUCAUCAUCAUCAUGGAAAAAAGCUAUUAUUAUUAUUAUUAUUAUUAUUAUUAUUAUUAUUAUUAUAGAAAACAUAAGCAUUUGAAUAAAAACAGUUGGCACAUAA
Molecule: long non-coding RNA, 832 nt
Organism: Acipenser ruthenus (sterlet)
Lineage: Eukaryota; Metazoa; Chordata; Actinopteri; Acipenseriformes; Acipenseridae
Exons: 2
Source: RefSeq, a predicted model, not a curated record